UAGCUAAUACCGCAUAACGUCGCAAGACCAAAAAGGGGGACUUCGGGCCUCUUGCCAUCGGAUGUGCCCAGAUGGGAUUAGCUAGUAGGUGGGGUAACGGCUCACCUAGGCGACGAUCCCUAGCUGGUCUGAGAGGAUGACCAGCCACACUGGAACUGAGACACGGUCCAGACUCCUACGGGAGGCAGCAGUGGGGAAUAUUGCACAAUGGGCGCAAGCCUGAUGCAGCCAUGCCGCGUGUAUGAAGAAGGCCUUCGGGUUGUAAAGUACUUUCAGCGGGGAGGAAGGGAGUAAAGUUAAUACCUUUGCUCAUUGACGUUACCCGCAGAAGAAGCACCGGCUAACUCCGUGCCUGCAGCCGCGGUAAUACGGAGGGUGCAAGCGUUAAUCGGAAUUACUGGGCGUAAAGCGCACGCAGGCGGUUUGUUAAGUCAGAUGUGAAAUCCCCGGGCUCAACCUGGGAACUGCAUCUGAUACUGGCAAGCUUGAGUCUCGUAGAGGGGGAUAGAAUUCCAGGUGUAGCGGUGAAAUGCGUAGAGAUCUGGAGGAAUACCGGUGGCGAAGGCGGCCCCCUGGACGAAG
Molecule: ribosomal RNA, 582 nt
Filed under: uncultured Escherichia sp.
Lineage: Bacteria; Pseudomonadati; Pseudomonadota; Gammaproteobacteria; Enterobacterales; Enterobacteriaceae
Description: bacterial SSU rRNA
Rfam family: Bacterial small subunit ribosomal RNA
Source: RNAcentral